CCUCCGAUCCUCCUCCUGGGCUGAAUGCGCACGCGCGGCAAGAGCUGCGCGCGCAUUCAGCCCGUCGCAUAGGAAAGCAUUUACAAUGCUUUCCUAUGGACGCUGGCGUGCUCUCACUGUGAAAAUCACAGUGAGAAGCACGCAAGCGCUUCUAGUGGCUGUCAAUGAGACAGCCACUAGAGGAUUAGGGGGAAGGCUUAACCCAUUCAUAAUUAUAGCAGUUUCUCUGAAACUGCUAUAAUUAUGAAAAAAUGGGUUAACCCUAGCUGGACCUGGCACCCAGACCACUUCAUUAAGCUGAAGUGGUCUGAGUGCCUAGAGUGGUCCUUUAACAGGAGUAUAAUAUUAAACCAUGACCGCAUUGUAAAAAAACACUAAGUGCACCCAGAUAAUCUAAUAAAGUGGGCUGGGUGCAGUGGCCCUGUCUUCCAGACAGCCACUAGCCACUAGAGGCGCAUCCACAGCAACAACCGAAUGAAAAUGCUGGUAACAGGAAAGCAUUGGAUAUUCAUUGAGGAAGCAAAGCGUUUUAUUCCUAGCACUAUACUGUUCCUUUAAUGUUAUAUAUUUGCUAAAGGGUUCGUCUAGGCACCAUGACCACUUCAGUAUUUUGGUUUGAAGUAUCCAGUGUGUAUCAGCUUGAAACUUCGCACAUACAAGGAUAUAGCAGCACCUGCAGCGUCAUUAAAUAAUCAGGAACUGGCUAAUGUUAAACUUGUGCAUAUUUGGGUUAUGCCGCCAGCACCCACAGCAUGCUUAUGGCAGAAAACCAGGUGAGAUUUUUCCUUUUCUGGGAGGGAUUGGGAAAUCCAGCAAGGGCAACUCUAAAUAUUUGUUUUUAUAAAAACACUGCUUUUGGUUGGAGUAACGUUUAGGUUUUUUUUGCUUUUUUUUUUUUUUUUUUAUAAAUAUAAUCGUUAAAAGGACACUUCCAAGUACCAUAAACACUGUUAUGUUCCUUGCAUUGGUUAUGAUUCCAGGAGCUCCCUUUUUGCUGUCUGCCUCAAAGAAAUACUCCAAUCACCAUAACCAUUGAACCAGUAAAUGCAGUUUUGUGCAAUGAAUCUUACACAGAAUUUACAUUAGCCAGCCCAGAAUUAAAGUCCCUAGCUUGCUUGUUACACGCCAGUGACGCUGUUGGAGGUGGAGUUAGUGAGGGGUUAAACUCGGUAUGUGCAGCAUUCCACAGUGAAACGUUGCGCAUACAGACUCCAGGUGCUAUGAGCACUUCAAGCCAGUGAAGUAGUCAUGGUGGUUGGAGUAACCCGUUAAAUCUCUACCUUAUAACUUCAGAAACAUGAUAUAUAGAUAUUUUUAUUUUCAAAUAUAGCUGUAGAAGUCUGAUCCAUUGUAGAGGUGAUCGUUACCUCUACCUAGCAGUGUGUGGUGUGUUGCGUCUUUUGGUGCAAUAGUUGGCUAAACUAAGUUGUUAGUGAAGAGACAAAGCAUGAGAAAUGAAUCUUCAUCCUGAUGUUGCCUUCAGGAAGAGAAGACCAUGAUUUUACAUAAACACAUAAAAAAAAUCGAUUUCUAAAACUAUGUAACCCUACAGACACAAUUUAAGAUAAAGUAAUAAUAUACUUUCAUAUGGCACAGAACAAUGCUAAAAUGCACUAUAAUAGCCUAGAUUUAAGCUAAAUGUUUGGUAUGCAUCUUUUCCAUACGCCUGCCAUUGUAAUUUACUAUAGAUUUUAUAUAUCUUGUACUAAAAUGUUUUACACAUUGUUUGUGUAUUUUAACACUACAAGC
This 1749-nucleotide long non-coding RNA is filed under the name Pelobates cultripes (western spadefoot toad). Lineage: Eukaryota; Metazoa; Chordata; Amphibia; Anura; Pelobatidae. The record is from RNAcentral.